GACGAACGCUGGCGGCGUGCUUAACACAUGCAAGUCGAACGGGCCCGCUCUCUUUUUUGGGGGUGGGUUGAGUGGCGAACGGGUGAGUAUCACGUGAGUAACCUGCCCCCUGCUCCUGGAUAACUGCUUGAAAGGGCGGCUAAUACGGGGUGUGCCGGCUGGUCCGCAUGGGCCUGGUCGGGAUAGUUUCAUCUUCGGGUGUUUCGGUGGGGGAUGGGCUCGCGGCCUAUCAGCUUGUUGGUGGGGUGAUGGCCCACCAAGGCGGUGACGGGUAGCCGGCCUGAGAGGGUGGGCGGCCACACUGGGACUGAGACACGGCCCAGACGCCUGCGGGAGGCAGCAGUGGGGGGUAUUGCACAAUGGGCGGAAGCCUGAGGCAGCGACGUCGCGUGAGGGAUGGAGGCCGUCGGGUGGUGAACCUCUUUCUCCGGUGGUGAAGGCCCUGUCCGUUGCGGCGGGGUUGACGGUAGCCGGGUAUGAAGCGCCGGCUAACUACGUG
This 499-nucleotide ribosomal RNA is filed under the name uncultured bacterium. Its description in RNAcentral is "partial 16S ribosomal RNA". It matches the Rfam family "Bacterial small subunit ribosomal RNA", at positions 28 to 507 of the family's 1533-position model. The record is from RNAcentral.